UAUUAACAUUUAUGACGUCUUUUUUUAUAACUUACAUAUUUGAAUUAAAUGUUCAAAGACCUGGGGCUUUUUGUACAACAUCCCCACAUAAACCUCGACUUCGACGACCCUGGCUGUUAGCUUACUUUCAUACAGUUAGCUUAAUUAAAACGUAACGUUAUCGCUUAUAAGAAUAAUAUAUUAGUAAGACACUGGGCACAAAUAUGAGAAUGUAAACAUGUAUAUGCACAAAGAAGGUAAUACUACCCCCCGAUUCAAGUAAACCGAGGAGAGUCCUACAGAGACUGCAGAAGCUUCCAUCAUCCAGCUUCCAAACAUCUUUUCUCCAAAAGGAUUUACAAAGUCCUUCAGGCCAGAAGUGUCCCAGGCCAUUGCACGACAUCAGCCUCAAGCCAUCUCCCUCACAAGCCGUGUGAGACAAUCUGAUGGCAGCCGCGAGCGCCGCAUCUACUGAUUCAUCACCUCGGUGACAAGAGCGCCACACUCCCCACUUGGGUUACAGCCUGGGAAGCACUCACCUCGGUAAGAUGUCUGCUGGUGUGAUGUUACUCCAGUGACUCACUCAUCCACAUCAGGUUUACAGGCCAGAUUUGACCAAAGUCGCCUGGCGGAGUUCGUGUUUCUGCAGCCACACAGGGCGCCGUACAUGGGGGGAUCCACUGAAGUUGGUGGCCACUAAUGCAACAUACCGGGCGGAUACGACUCCUCCGGCCGCCCCAGCUGAGACGUCGUAUGUGACCAGUGUGUUGUCGUCGACUCGCUGCAAGAUCUAAAGAAGAAGAAAGAAACAUUCAAACCUUUUUCAUUUUUAAUGGCCGUACAGUUCUGAAGCUGACCUGGCAGACUGACACGGUUCUGUUCCACAUGACCAUCUUCUCAGGCUGUAGGAUGACUUCCUGGUACACCAGCUCAGCAGGACACUGCAUGAAGGCCUGAGGGAAGCAAAAAUAACUCAACGUAGAUGUUGUAUCAGGCCAACAGUCACCAGCACACCCAGUGAAGAACCCUUAGUUCCACACUAUUACAAUAAUGUGACAUCUACCAGCCAGUCAGCACAAAAAGGAACACUGGGAAGCCAAGAAUUCCCACAACUAGCUUCAAGCCAAAUAUGAACAAAGAACAUGGCUAACGACGAUGUUGUCCUCCUGGGCGAGGAUCUGCUCGACGAUGGUGAGAGCCUCGCGUCCUUGUCCUACAUACUCCUUCUCCUGCGGGAACAGAAAAAAUGUCAGAGAGAUGGCGUCCAUGUUUGGACGCCUCCUGCUGGCCACUGCUGGUACCUGAGCGGUCACGGCACGCCGGCCGAGGCCCUCUUCAUCAAGAUCCUCCUCAGAGCCUGCAGAUCAGGGUAAGAAAAUGUCAGCAAGAUGGAGGGGAGCAGGGGGUUGUGUUGCAAACAUCACCUGCAACCGAUUCGGGCGGCGAGUAGAACUGUCCAUCUGAGAGGGCGCGAGGGUACAUCAUGGGGGCGCGCUCGCAGGCCGCGUUCACCGCCGCCAGGUAGGCUAAGGUCAAAUUACGUUUAAAAAAAGAUUUUUUUGGGUGCGUUUGCUUGCUGGUUCGUCAUGCCCACCUCUAUCAUCAUCUGCCUCCUGGGUGAGCACCUUAAAGUCCAGGAACCAGGUCUCCAGCCAAGCCACCACAAAGGAGGUGAUGGGCAGCACAUAGCCAAAUGCAUUCUGGGACAGCAGCUGUGUGCACACUUCUAUUUAACAAACUUCCUCAUUGCUCACCAUAAAAAGUGAACGAGAGGUAAACGUUUGGAGCGCAGCAGAAACAUCAGGCAUCAGAAGUUAACAAAGCCACAAGGAACGUUUGAUGUUUUGCAAUAAAAUCCCACCGAUCAGGCGGUUUUCUGGUCAAACAGUUCUUUACCGACACAAAUGCAGAAGUGAAAAGGUUUGAGGUUGAAACUGGUUUGCUCGCAUGUCAACACAUACUUUGAGAAAAGAAGAAGUACUCACGUUAGAAACGAUGACCUUCACAACGAGGAAGACGCUGGUCACAAGAGUGGUGACCUGUAGAACAUUUCCCUUUUACUUUCUGGCGUCUGGGAAAUUUGCGUGUGGGACCAUUACAGCGGAACCUUCAUUUACGAACCCCUCUGUCUGCGAACUAUUUGAUUGUGCCAAACCGCCCACCCGCACACACACACGUUGUUAGGGCAUACCAAGUGCGGAGAGUAAAGGUGGACAAAAGCAUUGGUGAGGAGUGACCUAUUUUUAGAGCAGGCUCUGGAUUUUUGACAGUUAGGUUUCUUCCCCAGUGCUGUUAUUGGUAUUGUUUGUACGUACUAUUUUGUUAAUCUUCAAUUGUAUCGUACUUUCCGGGCUAUAAAGCGCAACGAUAUUAGCCGCAUCCACCAAAUUUUAGAAGUAAUAAAUAUUUUUACAUACAUUAUUCGCACUGGACCAUAAGCCACAGAUACUGUAUACAACAAUUUAAAAGAUUUUGCAAAUGCUUAUUUAUAUACCUUAAUUGUUUCCAAACGGUGCCUGUCACUCGGCAGUAAAACGGAUGAUCAAACAAAACACUAGCUGCGGAAGUCAGCUCUCCAAUCAGCUGUGACGUUUUGUCAAAUUUACAAAACUGAAGCAAUAUAAAAAUAAUGCCAUUGUAAUAAUACUCAUACAGACACUUGUAAACGUGCGGACAUUUGCUAAUGUUCACGAUGCUAUCUAUCUAUCCAUUUUCUACUGCUUGUCCCUUUCGGGGUCGCGGGGUGUGCUGGAGCCUCUCAGCUGCAUUCGGGCGCAAGGCGGGGUACACCCUGGACAGGGCCAACACAGACAGACAGACAACAUUCACACUCACAUUCACACACUAGGGCCAAGUUAGUGUUGCCAAUCAACCUAUCCCCAGGUGCAUGUCUUUGGAGGUGGGAGGAAGCCGGAGUCCCCGUAGGGAACCCACGCAAUCACGGGGAAAACAGCAAACCCCACGCAGAAAGAUCCCAAGCCCAGGAUUUCUAUUGUGAGGCACAUGCACUAACCCUUGUUCCGCCGUGCUGCAACGACGCUAGCUUGAUUAUAUUACGAUAGCAUGUACAAAUAUGCAUGAAAACACUCCCACAGACAUCACACAUGGGGCGCUUUAUUAAGUGUGAAUUGUUUUCGUUAAAUUACAAAACUUGUAAACGUUGCUUGGAGUGAUGAAUGAAGAAUCAUUUCGAAUACAAACGCUAAAGACUAAUAGUAGUCGAAACAGGAUAUACUGCCGCUUCAAGGCACGAAACAGGAACUACAUUUUCAACCCCCAGCAUCUGCAGGGAGCCAACACGUCCAAAAGAUGGCGCCAUAACACAAACAAUAACAAAACUUUGCAGUGUCUUUUUCUGUGUUUUAUGAAAAUUAUUUGUUGAUACAAAACAUUAUGGCCAUUAGCGAAGAAAAACCCAUGAAUUAUCUCCACCAGUUUAUAAGCUGCAGGGUUCAAGGCGUAGGAAAAGUUAGCGGUUUACAGUCCGAAAAAUACCUGUACAGUAGUCACCUCACGUUAUUUAGACAGCCUUAGAACAAAAUAAUCUGGGAGGAGGACUUUUUGUUGCAACGGGGUGGGUCCCAAUAUUUCUUGUGGAGAAAUUUGCUUCACUAUACGAAAUGUUCCAUUUAAGAACCCUGUUCAAUAAUCAAAUAAGUUCGUAAAUCGAGGUUUCAAUGUAUUACGAUUAGGGAUGAUGUUUGAUAAGAAAUUAUCGAGUUAGAGCCCAUUAUCGAAUCCUCUUAUCGAACCAAUUCCUUAUCGAUUCUCUUUUUGAAUCCAGAUAGGUUGUAGUAUAUGGAAAAAAACACAAUAUUUGGUUUAACAAAAGCUCACUUUUAUUUUAUAAGAAAAAAAUUAAAUUAAAAUAAAUAAAUAAAUAUUGACGGUUACCCCCCUAUAAAAAUAAAAUAAAUACAUAUUGACUGUUGUUAUCCAAAGUAUAUUAUGUGGGAUUUUUCAGAAAAACAAAUAUAUACAGCAACACAAAAA
Molecule: long non-coding RNA, 3972 nt
Organism: Entelurus aequoreus (snake pipefish)
Lineage: Eukaryota; Metazoa; Chordata; Actinopteri; Syngnathiformes; Syngnathidae
Exons: 7
Source: RefSeq, a predicted model, not a curated record